Molecule: ribosomal RNA, 468 nt
Filed under: uncultured bacterium
Lineage: Bacteria
Description: partial 16S ribosomal RNA
Rfam family: Bacterial small subunit ribosomal RNA
Source: RNAcentral
GACGAACGCUGGCGGCGUGCUUAACACAUGCAAGUCGAACGGAAAGGCCCUGCUUUUGUGGGGUGCUCGAGUGGCGAACGGGUGAGUAACACGUGAGUAACCUGCCCUUGACUUUGGGAUAACUUCAGGAAACUGGGGCUAAUACCGGAUAGGAGCUCCUGCUGCAUGGUGGGGUUUGGAAAGUUUCGGCGGUUGGGGAUGGACUCGCGGCUUAUCAGCUUGUUGGUGGGGUAGUGGCUUACCAAGGCUUUGACGGGUAGCCGGCCUGAGAGGGUGACCGGCCACAUGGGGACUGAGAGACGGCCCAGACUCCUACGGGAGGCAGCAGUGGGGAAUAUUGCACAAUGGGCGGAAGCCUGAGGCAGCAACGCCGCGUGCGGGAUGACGGCCUUCGGGUGGUAAACCGCUUUCGCCUGUGACGAAGCGUGAGUGACGGUAAUGGGUAAAGAAGCACCGGCUAACUACGUG